This 528-nucleotide ribosomal RNA is filed under the name Pseudo-nitzschia fraudulenta. Its description in RNAcentral is "partial Bacterial large subunit ribosomal RNA". It matches the Rfam family "Bacterial large subunit ribosomal RNA", at positions 154 to 730 of the family's 2925-position model. The record is from RNAcentral. Lineage: Eukaryota; Bacillariophyta; Bacillariophyceae; Bacillariales; Bacillariaceae.
CGAGUUGAAUAAAAUAGACUUGGUGAAGCGAACCCGGCGAACUGAAACAUCUCAGUAACCGGAGGAAAAGACAUCAACCGAGAUUCCGUUAGUAGUGGCGAGCGAACGCGGACCAGGCCAGUGCCUGAUUGUAAAUUAGCAGAACAUUCUGGAAAGUUUGACCAUAGUGGGUGACAGUCCCGUAUGCGAAAAUGAUCAAUCAGGACUCGAGUAGGGCGGAACACGUGAAAUUCUGUCUGAACAUGGGGGGACCACCCUCCAAGCCUAAAUACUACUGACUGACCGAUAGUGAACUAGUACCGUGAGGGAAAGAUGAAAAGAACCCCGAUAAGGGGAGUGAAAUAGAAUUUGAAACCGCAUACUUACAAGCAGUGAGAGGGCUAUUGUAAAGCUUGAUCACGUACCUCUUGCAUUAUGAUCUAGUGAGUUACGAUGUGUAGCCAGGUUAAGCCGUUAGGUGUAGCCGUAGGGAAACCGAGUCUGAAUAGGGCGAAUAGUUGCAUGUCGUAGACCCGAAACGGGAUGAGC